AGAGUUUGAUCCUGGCUCAGAUUGAACGCUAGCGGGAUGCUUUACACAUGCAAGUCGGACGGCAGCACGAAGAGCUUGCUCUUUGGUGGCGAGUGGCGAACGGGUGAGUAAUGUAUCGGAACGUGCCCAGUAGCGGGGGAUAACUACGCGAAAGCGUGGCUAAUACCGCAUACGCCCUACGGGGGAAAGGGGGGGAUCGCAAGACCUCUCACUAUUGGAGCGGCCGAUAUCGGAUUAGCUGGUUGGUGGGGUAAAGGCCUACCAAGGCGACGAUCCGUAGCUGGUUUGAGAGGACGACCAGCCACACUGGGACUGAGACACGGCCCAAACUCCUACGGGAGGCAGCAGUGGGGAAUUUUGGACACUGGGGGCAACCCUGAUCCAGCCAUCCCGCGUGUGCGAUGAAGGGCCCUUCGGGUUGUACAGCACUUUUGGCAGGCAGAAACAGCUGGGAUACUACCUGGGCGACUGACCGUAC
This 478-nucleotide ribosomal RNA is filed under the name uncultured bacterium. RNAcentral's name for it is "bacterial SSU rRNA". It matches the Rfam family "Bacterial small subunit ribosomal RNA", at positions 8 to 478 of the family's 1533-position model. The record is from RNAcentral.